AUUUAUAUAUAUAUAUAUAAUUAAUCCCUCCGACCAAUUUUCCGGCAUCUUUUUCGGUGAGGUUCUUCACCGAAAUGACCGGAUUAUGGAGUCUUUGGAUUCCUUCUAAUGAGUACUAUAAGAUAGUGUAUUUACAUGUCUAAAUUAAAGUUACUAUGAAUGAGUAAUUGAGGUCCAAAGUGGUGAGCUUGAAAGCUUGUAA
Molecule: small RNA, 202 nt
Filed under: Arabidopsis thaliana (thale cress)
Lineage: Eukaryota; Viridiplantae; Streptophyta; Magnoliopsida; Brassicales; Brassicaceae
Description: ATSL026650
Source: RNAcentral